Molecule: ribosomal RNA, 251 nt
Filed under: uncultured bacterium
Lineage: Bacteria
Description: partial 16S ribosomal RNA
Rfam family: Bacterial small subunit ribosomal RNA
Source: RNAcentral
CGUAGGUGCAAGCGUUGUCCGGAAUUAUUGGGCGUAAGAGCUCGUAGGCGGUUUGUCGCGUCUGCUGUGAAAUCCCGAGGCUCAACCUCGGGUCUGCAGUGGGUACGGGCAGACUAGAGUGCGGUAGGGGAGAUUGGAAUUCCUGGUGUAGCGGUGGAAUGCGCAGAUAUCAGGAGGAACACCGAUGGCGAAGGCAGAUCUCUGGGCCGUAACUGACGCUGAGGAGCGAAAGCAUGGGAGCGAACAGGAUU